RNAcentral lists this ribosomal RNA (460 nucleotides) under uncultured bacterium. RNAcentral's name for it is "partial 16S ribosomal RNA". It matches the Rfam family "Bacterial small subunit ribosomal RNA", at positions 338 to 795 of the family's 1533-position model. The record is from RNAcentral.
CCUACGGGAGGCAGCAGUGAGGAAUAUUGGUCAAUGGACGCAAGUCUGAACCAGCCAUGCCGCGUGCAGGAAGACGGCUCUAUGAGUUGUAAACUGCUUUUGUACGAGGGUAAAUCCCGAUACGUGUAUCGGGGUGAAAGUAUCGUACGAAUAAGGAUCGGCUAACUCCGUGCCCGCAGCCGCGGUAAUACGGAGGAUUCAAGCGUUAUCCGGAUUUAUUGGGUUUAAAGGGUGCGUAGGCGGUUCGAUAAGUUAGAGGUGAAAUCCCGGGGCUCAACUCCGGCACUGCCUCUGAUACUGUCGGGCUAGAGUUUAGUUGCGGUAGGCGGAAUGUAUGGUGUAGCGGGGAAAUGCAUAGAGAUCAUACAGAACACCGAUUGCGAAGGCAGCUUACCAAACUACGACUGACGUUGAGGCACGAAAGCGUGGGGAGCAAACAGGAUUAGAUACCCCGGUAGUC